AUAAAUAAAUAAAUAAGGAAAAUAAGAAAUGUAUCAUCAUGAACACUUCAUAAACGUGGUAAUUUUUAUUAAUAUGUAAUUCAUUCUUUAGAAAAACGUUUAAGUAUUAGUUAAAAUGUCAAAUUCAUGGGUAUCUGUCUCACAUACACCCCCUACUUUCACAAUGAAAUGGACUAGUCCGUGACGGACUGCAAAAGAUGAACACAAACGACACUCCAGUCCAGUUGGUGGCAAUAAACCACACAGAAGGAGAAGAAGAAGAAGAAUAAGUAGAAGAAGUAAACAAACAGACACGGAGUAAAAGCUCAAAUGAAACGAAACUACCCGAGUGGUUCGAAUAAACGGAAAAAGAAAAAAGACGCAGAGAAAUAUAUAGCAAAGCUGACAAACUAUAUUACCACUGCUGUUAACAGUCAACAACGUUCAAAGUGUUGGAUAUGCCGGCGCCGCAACCGCAGCAGCAGCUAACGUUAGCUGUGACGUGUCUGUUGACACAGACAAGGUGAUGGAGUUGUCCAGUGAUGGCCAUUUUGACAGCGAUGAUGACGAUGAUGAUGAUGACAAUGAUGAUGACAAUGGUGGGGUUCUGAAAAAAGAAGAAGCCCGGCCAUCACUAACAUCUGGACAACUAAGGUACAGCUCCAUACUCCACACAGACGUCAGCAGUAUGUCUCGGAAGCGUGUGAUGUGGAGAACUCUCUUUUCUCUCUCACUCACUCACUCAUAUUGAUAUUGAUUUUUUUUUUUAAGAAAUAAACAGUGCUGGUUAACCUGGAAUUUUUGCAAGGACAGUUGGUUUCUUAUUCUCCAUCAUGGGUGACUAUUAGCUUGUGUAGUACACUUUGUGUGUUCUUCGUUCUCUGUCUUCAUUUUGGAGUAAAGAAGUGUAUGCAGGGUUUAGGGCCCCCAUACAUACCUUCGCCUUGGGCCCCCAAAUUGCUAAAUCCGGCACUACAGACAGUCAAGACUAUAGUUGUUAUUUAACACAUGUAGCACACAACAGGAGACUCUCCGUGUCAGACGAGUUCUCACGUGAUGACUAAACUCAAAAACUAAUUGAUAAGGUAGCAGCGCAAGAGUGCUUGCUAGCUAAGCAGCUAAACUUUUAGCACCGCUCCUUGUUUAGAUCCCGCCCUGUGUGGGUCACUACACUCUCAUUGGUUAGGCGCGCACACGCUGUUAACGAUACCAUUAGCUGUAGAGUGUGACAAUCUGUCAAUAAAAAUCAGCCACAGGUUCUCCUCUGAUCUACACUGAUCUCAUAAGUCGCCUCUGUGAAGUUUGAAUGACGGAAAUCCGUCAGAGCGACGGAGAACUUUAAUCCAUGCAAAUGAUAACUUGGAUUGAUGCAGCCUCUUACCACUACGUUGCAUCUUUGCUCCGAUUCAUUCAAUUGCCGUUCUAAAAAUAGACCUGCAGACCUCACCUCGCAGUAUCGUUAUCUUCCUCCUGUCAACUGAAAAUGUCCCGCGAUUUCCACCGGUACAUCAGAUAACUUCCUGCGUGCGGUUUCAAAAUAAAAGCUGUCCGGUGUGUUAAUAUGUUUAACAUGAUGCUGUUCGGGGCUUCUUCUAUUUUUUUUCUCUCCGAAAUGAUUACCGAGGUCCG
This is a long non-coding RNA of Sparus aurata (gilthead seabream), 1608 nucleotides long. NCBI's taxonomy places the organism in Eukaryota, Metazoa, Chordata, Actinopteri, Spariformes, Sparidae. The record is from Ensembl.